GUCCACUUGGUGAAAUUGGCAGACACGAGGCACUUAAAAUGCCUUGCCGCAAGGUGUACUGGUUCAAGUCCAGUAGUGGACA
Molecule: transfer RNA, 82 nt
Filed under: Blastocladiella emersonii
Lineage: Eukaryota; Fungi; Blastocladiomycota; Blastocladiomycetes; Blastocladiales; Blastocladiaceae
Description: tRNA-Leu
Rfam family: tRNA
About the family: Transfer RNA (tRNA) molecules are approximately 80 nucleotides in length. Their secondary structure includes four short double-helical elements and three loops (D, anti-codon, and T loops).
Source: RNAcentral